GUGCCGAGCUAGUCAUAUGCGUGGCGAGCGCUUUCUCGUCGAGGCUUGGAGGCGGGCUGCCACUGCCCAGCAGCUUGCGUAACGUAGAGGAAACGCGAAACGGAGGUCGAGGAGCUGGUGCGCGUAGUGCUGCAGGUUUGACAAAAGGAAAUAAAUAGAUACUCUUUAUAAAAAAAAAGAUAGAUACUAGUUUAUUUGGCACCAAUUUUUUUUCCGCAAAGUUUGGCUGGUUUGAGACUUGAGUCCAUGCGGUAGAUUUGGCACACCACAGCUUUGCGUCACUCGUCACAUCCCACAAGAAGCAUGGCCUGCCACAAUCACAACUAAUUAAGGGGUGUUUGGAUACAAGGUACUAAAUUUUAGCAGUGUCACAUCGAAUGUUCAAAUGCUAAUUAGAAGAACUAAAUAUAAGCUAAUUACAAAACUAAUUGUACAGAUGGAGUCUAAUUCCCGAGACGAAUCUAUUAAGGCUAAUUAAUCCAUUAUUAGCAAAUGAUUACUGUAGCACUACAUUGUCAAAUCAUGGACUAAUUAGGCUUAAUAGAUUCGUCUCGCGAAUUAGACUCCAUGUGUGCAAUUAGUUUUGUAAUUAGACUAUGUUUAUUACUCCUAAUUAGUAUCAAACAUCCGAUGUGAUAUGUGUUAAAGUUUAGCAAAGGUAUCCAAACAUAUGCCAUGUCCCAGGCACACGGAUCAUCCCAUCUCGCCCAGUAAAUUCAACGGAUCAAUCAAAGUUCCCUGCCGCCAGCCAACAACGAGAAACCACCCGGACGCCCAGGAAAAGAGGCGAAAACGACGACACGCCGCAGGAACCAGGGCAGGGGAUGACCGCCGCACAGAGAUCCUAGAUUCCCAGCCCGCCCUGACGCUACGCUGUUCGGCAGAGCAAUCGCGUGCCGUGCCAGUCAGCCAGUGCCACCGAUGGGCCCAGCAAGCCCGCAGGCUCACCGGCCAGUUCGGUGGCGCUGCCGCCGGUGGCCGUGUAGACGGGCACGAUCCACAGCGGGCGCGUGCAGGAGGACCCAAGGCGGAGGCAAAGGCACGGCAGCGCAGCAGGAGCCCGGUGACAGGUCGAGGACGAUCUGCCUGGGCGAACACUGGACAUGUUGGGGUGGGUGGCUGGGAGCCAUGUGACGUGAGACCAUGUCACGCCAGCUGUGGGAAGCGAGGAACAGCAUCGUGCACAUACUCAUGAUAAAAGGACAAUUGAUUUAUAUAAUACUCCCUCCAUCCCAAAUUAUAGGUCGUUUUAGCAUUUCUAUAUGCAUAAUAUUUGCUAUACACCUAAAUAUAGCAUAUGUCUAUAUGCAUAAUAAUAUCUAUGAACUAAAAAACUAAAACGACCUACAAUUUGGAAUGGAACGACCUACAAUUUGGAAUGGAACGGAAGGAGUAGAGUAAUAGACGCUCUGACAAACGCAAACCAAAAGUUGCAAUGGCGUCGCAGCAUCGGGUAAAACAGAAUAGGACCAUAGAACAUGAAAACAUAUCAAAAGGUUUACAAGGAAAAAGGGAGCACAUAAAGGACAUUCAAAGGGUGUUUAGCCGAGGGAUUGACCUUAGGCAUUCUCGGAAUCUUUUUCAAAUCUAAGAUAAACCCAACAAAUUUGAACCAGAACUCCCCUAUCAAACGAGCCACCAUGCAUGCUAUACACUUCUUUUUCUUGUAGAUAUUUUCUCAGACUAUUCAAUAAAACAGAAUGUGCAACUCCAGGCCAUCAGCCAGCCAUGAAUACAUGAGCAUAACUAUAGCAACACACAUAUUAUCUCCAGCAGUAUAACAUGUCAUAAGUCAACUAAAUAGUGGGUAAGGCUCAGCAACAACCCUCUGAAAUAGGUAAGCACAGUAAUGACAGCACUGGAAGACUAGACAGAAGCGGCGUGAUCUGAAACACCCCUUAGCCACUAUAGUGUGCUGUGUGCGUAGCCAAAAUUUGCUGAACUCAUAAGCUAACAAAAUAAGUUAGGCGAAAAGACGACAGAGAGUGACUAAUAAGUAAACCAGUUAAUAAGAAACAGAAUUUAGCUUUCAUAUCCCUAUGAUAAGAUAAACACGAGAGAAGAUCUUUCUGCAACCAGCGUGCCUCAUUGGCUGGUAAGGGUAGGCACAGAGCAGCAGCAAACAGCAAACUGGCAAAAGUCUGUAUGAUUCGUUGGACCAAUAUUUUAGCUUGAGUUCAAUGCUCAAUAGAAUUAGAAGCUAUCCGCAAACAAUAUUCAGGGGUCCAUGUGUUAUUUCUGAACUAGAGACUGAUUUGGUGAUUUCAUUGAGUACAGAUUUGCACAUACAAUUUACUAUCAAGGAAAAUACAGAUCUGCACAUACAAUUUACUAUCAAGGAAAAUUCAUCUGAUGGCAAACGUCAGGUUUCCUCAGUAUGCAUGGUGAUCGCACAAAUCGAACAGGUCGGAAGGAACUAAGGCAACCAGCUCCACUCUACCUAGUAAACUAGUAAAGAGGAAGAACUUCAUACCACACUGAGCAGAUAUUACCUAGCAAAGAGGUAAAAAGGCUAAACUGAGAACAGCACUGCAAGCAAAUUAGAACAUUGCUCCAACCUGCAGGCUUCAAUUCGGCUGUCUUCAGCUUUAGUUUAGGCGUCUUCUCUUGUUCUGAUGUAGGUCCCCACCAUCUACAUCCAAAGAACCUAAGGCAUCACCUCCUCUCCUCCUCCUCAGGGAUCGUGAAGACCCUGCAUUACUAGGUUCUCC
RNAcentral lists this long non-coding RNA (2711 nucleotides) under Setaria italica (foxtail millet). Its description in RNAcentral is "long non-coding RNA (SITA_LNC002079)". The record is from RNAcentral. Lineage: Eukaryota; Viridiplantae; Streptophyta; Magnoliopsida; Poales; Poaceae.